CCCUUAGAUGUCCGGGGCCGCACGCGCGCUACACUGAAGGAAUCAGCGUGGCUUUCUCCCUGACCCGAAAGGGUUGGGAAACCCGUUGAAUCUCCUUCGUGAUAGGGAUUGGGGCUUGAAAUUGUUCUCCAUGAACGAGGAAUUCCCAGUAAGCGCGAGUCAUCAGCUUGCGUUGAUUACGUCCCUGCCCUUUGUACACACCGCCCGUCGCUACUACCGAUUGAAUGGUUUAGUGAGAUCUCCGGAUUGGCUCUGUAGGUCCCGCAAGGGAUUUAUUAGUAGCCAAGAAGCUGCUCAAACUUGAUCAUUUAGAGGAAGUAAAAGUCGUAACA
Molecule: ribosomal RNA, 332 nt
Filed under: uncultured eukaryote
Lineage: Eukaryota
Description: partial 18S ribosomal RNA
Rfam family: Eukaryotic small subunit ribosomal RNA
Source: RNAcentral